Molecule: transfer RNA, 74 nt
Filed under: Caenorhabditis remanei
Lineage: Eukaryota; Metazoa; Nematoda; Chromadorea; Rhabditida; Rhabditidae
Description: tRNA-Arg
Source: RNAcentral
GGUUCUGGCCGAGUGGUUAAGGUAGAAUGCCUCUAUCGUUCAACAGGUCGGGGGUUCGAUCCCCGCGGAGGUCG